RNAcentral lists this ribosomal RNA (506 nucleotides) under uncultured bacterium. RNAcentral's name for it is "partial 16S ribosomal RNA". It matches the Rfam family "Bacterial small subunit ribosomal RNA", at positions 29 to 523 of the family's 1533-position model. The record is from RNAcentral.
AGUGAACGCUGGCGGUAGGCCUAACACAUUCAAGUCGAACGGCAGCACAGGAGAGCUUGCUCUCUGGGUGGCGAGUGGCGGACGGGUGAGGAAUAUAUCGGAAUCUACUCUGUCGUGGGGGAUAACGUAGGGAAACUUACGCUAAUACCGCAUACGACCUACGGGUGAAAGCAGGGGAUCUUCGGACCUUGCGCGAUUGAAUGAGCCGAUGUCGGAUUAGCUAGUUGGCGGGGUAAAGGCCCACCAAGGCGACGAACCGUAGCGGGUCUGAGAGGAUGAUCAGCCACACUGGAACGGGGACACGGUCCAGACUCCUACGGGAGGCAGCAGUGGGGAAUAUUGGACAAUGGGCGCAAGCCUGAUCCAGCCAUACCGCGUGGGUGAAGAAGGCCUUCGGGUUGUAAAGCCCUUUUGUUGGGAAAGAAAUCCAGCUGGCUAAUACCCGGUUGGGAUGACGGUACCCAAAGAAUAAGCACCGGCUAACUUCGUGCCAGCCGCCGCGGUAA